CCUACGGGGGGCAGCAGUGGGGAAUUUUGGACAAUGGGCGCAAGCCUGAUCCAGCUAUUCCGCGUGUGGGAAGACGGCCUUCGGGUUGUAAACCACUUUUGUAGAGAACGAAAAGUCUAUUGCUAAAACCUCUAGAUGAUGACGGUACUCUAAGAAUAAGCACCGGCUAACUACGUGCCAGCAGCCGCGGUAAUACGUAGGGUGCGAGCGUUAAUCGGAAUUACUGGGCGUAAGGGGUGUGCAGGCGGUUUUGCAAGAUGGUUGUGAAAGCCCCGGGCUUAACCUGGGAAAGCCAUCGGUGACUGGAAGACUAGAGUGCGUCAGAGGAGGGUGGAAUUCCAGGUGUAGCAGUGAAAUGCGUAGAUAUUUGGAAGAACACCGAUGGCGAAGGCAGGCCCCUGGGACGCAACUGAUGCUCAUACACGAAAGCGUGGGGAGCAAACAGGAUUAGAUACCCUUGUAGUC
This 465-nucleotide ribosomal RNA is filed under the name uncultured bacterium. RNAcentral's name for it is "partial 16S ribosomal RNA". It matches the Rfam family "Bacterial small subunit ribosomal RNA", at positions 338 to 795 of the family's 1533-position model. The record is from RNAcentral.